UAACAAGGAUUCCCCUAGUAACUGCGAGUGAAGAGGGAAAAGCUCAAAUUUAAAAUCUGGCGGUCUUUGGCCGUCCGAGUUGUAAUCUGGAGAAGCGUUUUCCGCGUCGGACCGUGUACAAGUCUCUUGGAACAGAGCGUCAUAGAGGGUGAGAAUCCCGUCCAUGGCACGGAUGACCGAAGCUUUGUGAUACGCUCUCGAAGAGUCGAGUUGUUUGGGAAUGCAGCUCAAAAUGGGUGGUAAAUUCCAUCUAAAGCUAAAUAUUGGCGAGAGACCGAUAGCGAACAAGUACCGUGAGGGAAAGAUGAAAAGCACUUUGGAAAGAGAGUUAAACAGUACGUGAAAUUGUUGAAAGGGAAACGCUUGAAGUCAGUCGCGUCGUCCGGGACUCAGCCUUGCUCUUGCUUGGUUUACUUCCCGUUCGACGGGUCAACAUCGAUUUUGACCGGCGGAUAAAGAUGGAGGGAAUGUGGCAUCUUCGGGUGUGUUAUAGCCUUCUAUCGCAUGCGUCGGUUGGGAUCGAGGACCGCAGCGCGCCACUAGGCCGAGAGGUACGCCUCUACGUUCCGCGCUUAGGAUGUUGGCAUAAUGGCUUUAAGCGACCCGUCUUGAAACACGGACCAAGGAGUCUAACAUGCUCGCGAGUGUUAGGGUGGAAAACCCUUGCGCGUAAUGAAAGUGAAAGUUGGGACCCUUGUCAUGAGGGGCACCGACGCCCGGCCCGGACCUUCUGCGAUGGUGCUGCGGUAGAGCGCGUAUGUUGGGACCCGAAAGAUGGUGAACUAUGCCUGAAUAGGGCGAAGCCAGAGGAAACUCUGGUGGAGGCUCGUAGCGAUUCUGACGUGCAAAUCGAUCGUCAAAUUUGGG
Molecule: ribosomal RNA, 867 nt
Filed under: Kneiffiella subglobosa
Lineage: Eukaryota; Fungi; Basidiomycota; Agaricomycetes; Hymenochaetales
Description: partial large subunit ribosomal RNA
Rfam family: Eukaryotic large subunit ribosomal RNA
Source: RNAcentral